Prionailurus viverrinus (fishing cat) is the source of this 551-nucleotide long non-coding RNA. RefSeq lists it as uncharacterized. Lineage: Eukaryota; Metazoa; Chordata; Mammalia; Carnivora; Felidae. The record is from RefSeq and is a predicted model, not a curated record. The transcript has 3 exons.
UGUGACCAAUAAACUGCCCUCCAUCUCUCAUCUGUCUGGUGCCAUGUGCGUGUACUUGGCCAUCCUCAUAACCUGGGACGGGAAUCCCUCCUCACCAGCAAGAAGAACAGGAGGAAGGUGUGGUGGAGUCCGGAGAAACCUGCUUUUCAUGCGCUCCUGGGCUCAGCUGCCGAUUCAUCCUGUGGCUUUUAGCAAUUUCUUCUCAGUUUUCCCAUCAAUGUAAUGAGUGAAAGGCACCACACCCCAGUGGACGACACCCACAGCAAGACAGUGAAGGGAAUUUACCCAAUUAUACUAGGAAGGUUGUUAGGUCUCAUGGUGUUGAGGACCUGCAAAUAAGAGUUCCACGGCGUUGGAAAAAGGUUGAAAACAGUGUCCUCUGUGACAAUGACAUUGACUACCCCGCAGACCCCCUGCGCAACAUGUAAGAUUUUGUGGCCUUCCAAAGAAUGGCUAUCCAUCAAUCCAUGAAAAAGCCUCCCGUGUGCAGGAAGCUUCCAUUUGACUGCCUUCCCUCUCAAAUCUUCCAGAAGUCCAGUGCGCAUUCUGAA